Molecule: unclassified non-coding RNA, 345 nt
Filed under: soil metagenome
Description: partial contains 5.8S ribosomal RNA, internal transcribed spacer 2, and large subunit ribosomal RNA
Rfam family: 5.8S ribosomal RNA (bases 1-120)
Source: RNAcentral
GAUGAAGAACGUAGCGAAAUGCGAUACGUAAUGUGAAUUGCAGAAUUCAGUGAGUCAUCGAGUCUUUGAACGCACAUUGCGCCCCCUGGUAUUCCGGGGGGCAUGCCUGUCCGAGCGUCAUUGCUGCCCUCAAGCACGGCUUGUGUGUUGGGCCUCCGUCCUCCUCCCGGGGGACGGGCCCGAAAGGCAGCGGCGGCACCGCGUCCGGUCCUCGAGCGUAUGGGGCUUCGUCACCCGCUCUUGUAGGCCCGGCCGGCGCUUGCCGACACAUCAAUCUUUUUUCCAGGUUGACCUCGGAUCAGGUAGGGAUACCCGCUGAACUUAAGCAUAUCAAUAAGCAGAGGA